GGAAGGAUCAUUAUAAGAUUCUAACGGUUCUAGCCCGUAAAAAGGCUAUGAACUAUUCAACCCUUUGUGAACCAAACCUUUCGCUUCGGUAGCAAGCACAGUUAAUUCUGUGCUAUAAGCCUACCGGCAGCACUAUUAAACUUUAAAUAUUGUCUGAUUAUUAUAUUUUUGAAUGAAUCAAAACUUUCAACAACGGAUCUCUUGGUUCUCGCAUCGAUGAAGAACGCAGCGAAACGCGAUAGUUAAUGUGAAUUGCAGAAUUCAGUGAAUCAUCGAGUCUUUGAACGCAUAUUGCGCCCAUUGGUAUUCCUUUGGGCAUGUCUGUUUGAGCGUCAUUACAACUCUUCAACAUGAAAAUGUUGGUUAUGGGCUCUGUUUUUAUAACAGGCUUUAAAGUUGUAUGCUCUGCAGGUUACUUUGCCAAACCAAAACAUAGUAAUUCUUCUUUGUUUAGUACGGCUUUGUAUAUUCCUGCCUGAAUAAAAAAUCUUUCUAAGGUUUGACCUCAGAUCAGACAAGGAUACCCGCUGAACUUAAGCAUAUCAAUAAGCGGAGGAAAAGAAACCAACAGGGAUUGCCUCAGUAACGGCGAGUGAAGCGGCAAUAGCUCAAAUUUGAAAUCUGGAGUCUUUGACUUCCGAGUUGUAAUUUGAAGAGGAUGCUUCGGUUGUGGCCUAGGUCUAAAUCCCUUGGAACAGGAUGUCGUAGAGGGUGAGAAUCCCGUACACGGCUAUAGGCUUUCUUCCAUGUGUAGCACCUUCGAAGAGUCGAGUUGUUUGGGAAUGCAGCUCAAAAUGGGUGGUAAAUUUCAUCUAAAGCUAAAUAUUGGCGAGAGACCGAUAGCGCACAAGUAGAGUGAUCGAAAGAUGAAAAGCACUUUGAAAAGAGAGUUAAACAGUACGUGAAAUUGUUGAAAGGGAAGCGCUUGCAAUUAGACUUGCUGCAGUUGAUCAAUGUUCCUUUUGGUGCAUGCACUCUGCUGUUUGCAGGCCAGCAUCAGUUAGAGCGGUAGGUCAAAGACUUCAGGAAUGUGGCUUUCUUCGGGGAGUGUUAUAGCCUGUUGUGUAAUGCUACCAGCUCUGACUGAGGUCCGCGGUUCGUCCUAGGAUGCUGGCAUAAUGAUUGUAAGCGACCCGUCUUGAAACACGGACCAAGGAGUCUAACAUCUAUGCGAGUGUUUGGGUGUUAAAACCCAUACGCGAAAUGAAAGUGAAUGGAGGUGGGAGUCUUUUAGAUGCACCAUCGACCGAUCCUGAUGUUCUCGGAUGGAUUUGAGUAGAAGCAUAGCUGUUGGGACCCGAAAGAUGGUGAACUAUGCCUGAAUAGGGUGAAGCCAGAGGAAACUCUGGUGGAGGCUCGCAGCGGUUCUGACGUGCAAAUCGAUCGUCAAAUUUGGGUAUAGGGGCGAAAGACUAAUCGAACCAUCUAGUAGCUGGUUCCUGC
This 1443-nucleotide unclassified non-coding RNA is filed under the name uncultured fungus. RNAcentral describes it as "sequence contains 18S rRNA gene, ITS1, 5.8S rRNA gene, ITS2, 28S rRNA gene". The stretch from base 501 to 1443 matches the Rfam family "Eukaryotic large subunit ribosomal RNA", at positions 1 to 961 of the family's 3401-position model. The record is from RNAcentral. Lineage: Eukaryota; Fungi.